This 89-nucleotide ribosomal RNA is filed under the name Acidovorax sp. Leaf191. Lineage: Bacteria; Pseudomonadati; Pseudomonadota; Betaproteobacteria; Burkholderiales; Comamonadaceae. The record is from RNAcentral. RNAcentral also lists the same sequence under 2 other names.
CCACUCCUUCCCAUCCCGAACAGGACAGUGAAACGACUUUGCGCCGAUGAUAGUGCGGGUUCCCGUGUGAAAGUAGGUCAUCGUCAGGC